UUUUUUUUUUUUUAAUUUUUUGCAUUUUCUCGCCUUUCCUCACCUUUUCUCACCGUUUCUCGACUCGCCUGGGCGCCUAGGCAGCGUCUGGUUGAAGUCGCCUCACCUAGAAGCUUCCCAGGCGAGGUGCCUAGAUUUCGCCUUGCCCGGGUGCCUGAUGACAACACUGCUCUAAACCAGGUCGGGUUUGUAAUUGAACCAGAUAUGAAAUUGACUUGGCACUAGGACUCGUGAAUCCAUGUAAGCCGUUGACUCGG
RNAcentral lists this unclassified non-coding RNA (257 nucleotides) under Hevea brasiliensis (rubber tree). Lineage: Eukaryota; Viridiplantae; Streptophyta; Magnoliopsida; Malpighiales; Euphorbiaceae. The record is from RNAcentral.